This 460-nucleotide ribosomal RNA is filed under the name uncultured bacterium. RNAcentral describes it as "SSU rRNA". It matches the Rfam family "Bacterial small subunit ribosomal RNA", at positions 26 to 518 of the family's 1533-position model. The record is from RNAcentral.
AGAAUCAACGCUGGCGGCGUGCCUAACACAUGCAAGUCGCACGAGAAAGGGGCUUCGGCUCUGAGUAAAGUGGCGCACGGGUGAGUAACACGUGAAUUAUCUACCUCCGAGUGGGGAAUAACUGAGAGAAAUCUUAGCUAAUACCGCAUAACACUUACGAGUCAAAGCAGCAAUGCGCUUGGAGAGGAGUUCGCGGCCGAUUAGUUAGUUGGCGGGGUAAUGGCCCACCAAGACGAUGAUCGGUAUCCGGCCUGAGAGGGCGCACGGACACACUGGAACUGAAACACGGUCCAGACUCCUACGGGAGGCAGCAGUGGGGAAUUUUGCGCAAUGGGGGAAACCCUGACGCAGCAACGCCGCGUGGAGGAUGAAAUAUCUUGGUAUGUAAACUCCUUUCGAUGGGGAAGAUUAUGACGGUACCCAUAGAAGAAGCCCCGGCUAACUUCGCGCCAGCAGCCGC